This 521-nucleotide non-coding RNA is filed under the name unclassified sequences. RNAcentral's name for it is "ROOL RNA". It matches the Rfam family "ROOL RNA". Rfam says of the family: Firmicutes, Fusobacteria (1 example), Tenericutes (1 example). The record is from Rfam by way of RNAcentral.
AACAAAAUAACAAAUUUUAUUUACCUGAGUGCAUAACGGGCUGACAACUCGCUCAGAAAUUGACAACCGGAGGCGUCUUGUGUGUACGGAUACGUUCGCAAGGGGGCUUAUUAAUAGCUGUGAGGCUAUCAAUGGAGAGAGCAUUCUCAAUCGAAGUCGGUUGUGCACAUAAAAUGUAUAGUCAAAGGCUUUGCAAACUUGCCGUCAGAAUAAUAGACGGUCUCUGUGAGACAAUAAGCCCAUAAGCUGUGAGCUGGUGCUUGCAAGCCAAUGUGGGUAAUACCAAAACAAUCUGAUAAUCACGUUGAAAUAAGGCAAGAAGCAAGAAAGAGUAGCAUAAAUCGUGAAACAAAAUUUUGCUGAAAGUCAUGUGAAAUUUGCGGGCAUUAAUCUCGCAUAGGAUACAAACGGGUAAGAAGCUUGUGGGUCGCUCCUGCAAGCUCAGCCUUAUCCGCCUAGUGGCUGAAUAUGAUUAGAAUUUUAUGUGUAAAGCGAAAGCUUGAAUAGAAUUUGUUGUUUUG